Molecule: ribosomal RNA, 424 nt
Filed under: uncultured Alistipes sp.
Lineage: Bacteria; Pseudomonadati; Bacteroidota; Bacteroidia; Bacteroidales; Rikenellaceae
Description: bacterial SSU rRNA
Rfam family: Bacterial small subunit ribosomal RNA
Source: RNAcentral
CCUACGGGAGGCAGCAGUGGGGAAUAUUGCACAAUGGGGGAAACCCUGAUGCAGCGACGCCGCGUGGAGGAAGAAGGUCUUCGGAUUGUAAACUCCUGUUGUUGAGGAAGAUAAUGACGGUACUCAACAAGGAAGUGACGGCUAACUACGUGCCAGCAGCCGCGGUAAUACGUAGGUGGCAAGCGUUGUCCGGAUUUACUGGGUGUAAAGGGCGUGCAGCCGGGUCUGCAAGUCAGAUGUGAAAUCCAUGGGCUCAACCCAUGAACUGCAUUUGAAACUGUAGAUCUUGAGUGUCGGAGGGGCAAUCGGAAUUCCUAGUGUAGCGGUGAAAUGCGUAGAUAUUAGGAGGAACACCAGUGGCGAAGGCGGAUUGCUGGACGAUAACUGACGGUGAGGCGCGAAAGUGUGGGGAGCAAACAGGAUU